This 429-nucleotide ribosomal RNA is filed under the name Verrucomicrobiota bacterium. RNAcentral's name for it is "Verrucomicrobia bacterium partial 16S ribosomal RNA". It matches the Rfam family "Bacterial small subunit ribosomal RNA", at positions 355 to 776 of the family's 1533-position model. Lineage: Bacteria; Pseudomonadati; Verrucomicrobiota. The record is from RNAcentral.
UAGGGAAUCUUCCGCAAUGGACGAAAGUCUGACGGAGCAACGCCGCGUGAGUGAAGAAGGAUUUCGGUUCGUAAAACUCUGUUGUUAGGGAAGAAAAAAUGUAUAGUAACUAUAUACAAAAGAGACGGUACCUAACCAGAAAGCCACGGCUAACUACGUGCCAGCAGCCGCGGUAAUACGUAGGUGGCAAGUGUUGUCCGGAAUUAUUGGGCGUAAAGCGCGCGCAGGUGGUUUAGAAAGUCUGAUGUGAAAGCCCACGGCUCAACCGUGGAGGGUCAUUGGAAACUAAUAAACUUGAGUGCAGGAGAGAAAAGUGGAAUUCCUAGUGUAGCGGUGAAAUGCGUAGAGAUUAGGAGGAACACCGGUGGCGAAAGCGGCUUUUUGGCCUGCAACUGACACUGAGGCGCGAAAGCGUGGGGAGCAAACAGG